This 253-nucleotide ribosomal RNA is filed under the name uncultured bacterium. RNAcentral describes it as "partial 16S ribosomal RNA". It matches the Rfam family "Bacterial small subunit ribosomal RNA", at positions 524 to 776 of the family's 1533-position model. The record is from RNAcentral.
UACGUAGGGUGCGAGCGUUAAUCGGAAUUACUGGGCGUAAAGCGUGCGCAGGCGGUUUUGUAAGCCAGAUGUGAAAUCCCCGGGCUUAACCUGGGAAUGGCAUUUGGGACUGCAAGGCUCGAGUGCGGCAGAGGAGACUGGAAUUCCUGGUGUAGCGGUGAAAUGCGUAGAUAUCAGGAGGAACACCGAUGGCGAAGGCAGGUCUCUGGGCUGACACUGACGCUCAUGCACGAAAGCGUGGGGAGCAAACAGG